This is a long non-coding RNA of Engraulis encrasicolus (European anchovy), 390 nucleotides long. RefSeq lists it as uncharacterized. NCBI's taxonomy places the organism in Eukaryota, Metazoa, Chordata, Actinopteri, Clupeiformes, Engraulidae. The record is from RefSeq and is a predicted model, not a curated record. The transcript is spliced from 3 exons.
GGAACUAGUCUGCCCUGACAGUUGAUUCGAUAGAGAUUGUUCAAAUCAUCAUAAAAACCACGCCGUAGACUUGACUUUGACCAGCCUACUUUCCCCACAUAUUAAAACAGCAGCUUUUCAGCAGAAAGGGGACGAAUUCACCUAAAUGAAGGCGUAUCUGAAGUUCACCACACCUAUGGGAACCGGAGGUCUGAACUGAUUGACUACAAGCUCUUGUGUCCAGUUCUGUGUCCAUGAGAAGUCCAUGGAUGAAUCAGAGAUCAAAGAGACGGAUCCUCCUCCUGAGGAGAGAGCCCCCAUAGAGAGUAGACCGGUCUCCCCUGUGCCCAAGACAGUGCAGUGGUCCAUGGAUCCCACAGCACCAUCCAGGGAGAUGGAUCCUCCUCCUGA